This 498-nucleotide ribosomal RNA is filed under the name uncultured bacterium. Its description in RNAcentral is "partial 16S ribosomal RNA". It matches the Rfam family "Bacterial small subunit ribosomal RNA", at positions 30 to 523 of the family's 1533-position model. The record is from RNAcentral.
AUUGAACGCUGGCGGAAUGCUUUACCCAUGCAAGUCGAGCGGCAGCGCGGGGCAACCUGGCGGCGAGAGGCGAACGGGUGAGUAAUGUAUCGGAACGUGUCCUGUCGUGGGGGAUAGCCCGGUGAAAACCGGAUUAAUACCGCAUACGAUAGCGAGAUGAAAGUGGGGGCCCGCAAGGCCUCCCCCGAUAGGACCGGCCGAUAUCUGAUUAGCUAGUUGGUGGGGUAAAAGCCCACCAAGGCUUCGAUCAGUAGCUGGUCUGAGAGGAUGAUCAGCCACACUGGGACUGAGACACGGCCCAGACUCCUACGGGAGGCAGCAGUGGGGAAUUUUGGACAAUGGGGGCAACCCUGAUCCAGCUAUUCCGCGUGAGUGAAGAAGGCCUUCGGGUUGUAAAGCUCUUUUGUCCGGGAAGAAACGGUUUUGGCUAAUAACCAAGACUACUGACGGUACUGGAAGAAUAAGGACCGGCUAACUACGUGCCAGCCGCCGCGGUAA